AAAUUAAUUGGAAGUAAAAAAGUUGGAGGAGAGAAAAAAACGCAUCGGGCAGAGACGUAAAAAUGCAUUACUGGGUUCGAGCUUCUUCCUCUGAUUUCAGUGGAACUCUUCCGCAACCCCGCAGUGGUCAUACUGCUGUCGGCAUCGGGAAAUCGAAGGUUGUGAUAUUUGGUGGACUUGUCGAGAAGAGAUUUCUCAGGGACAUAGUAGUUUACGAUAUUGCUAAUUAGUUCGAAUAGGUGUAUCUUUGAAUUUGAAGGGUUUUAGCGGUGUGUAGGCGCGCAGAUUGACUUAGAAGUUUACGCGUUUGAUGGUUCUAUCUGUUUUUGCCAUGCUCUGUUCUGUUUUGGAAUUCUGUUGCUUGGGAGUGGCAAGUGGCAAGUAGCAUGUGGGUUGGAUGCGGUUGGACCGGAGUGGAAUUCUACUAACACUGCUUGAACUCAAAAUUUAAAUAAAGCUGCAUGCUUCAUCAUUUAAUUUAUACAUGUCAUCUAUUUAGGAACUUAAAUUAUACAUGUUUGUAUCAUCUAUUCAACCCCAUUCAUGGGAAAAAUUAAUAGGAUAUGCUUUCUCAUGUUGUAUAAUGACUAGUUGCAGAAACUCUUAUGAGGACAAGUAUUUCUUCCUCUGUGUUUCCUUACCAGUUGUAUCAUCGAAAAAAUUUCUUCUUGUGGAUCGAACAUCCUUCAAUAUUGUUUUUGAAGGUAAAGAGGCAGAUGCUAUAAUCAUAAUGCAGAACAGUUUCCAAAGUUGUUUCUUAAUCUCUCACUUCGAACUUGAAUUAUAUGGUUUUUAAGGCGUUUGGUGAGUUUUUCUAGUAAAGGGGACCCAACAUUUAAACUAGGAAUUUGUGCAGGUGAAGAAUGAAUCUUGAACUUCUCUUUGGGUAGAAAAACAUAGGAAGGUUAUUAGAGUUGAAGGAACAUAAUGAAUGAGGAAGGUGGUUGAUGCUUUUCUUGAGGGUACUGAAGAUGAUAGCAAUUGGAGGUUGUUUUUAGGGUAUGCAUGGUGAACCAGUUAUAGUUCUUGUAAUUUGUUUUCGAAAGAUUUCUGUACAGGGAAUCUUCCCUUUUCUAAUCCUUUCCCUCUCCUCUAUAACGUUUCUUUAUGUCGUCAUGCUCCCAUCAGUCAAUUUCUCAAUCAGUUGGAUGGUUUAGUCUUUUGUAAUUUGUUUUUCUCUAGAAAUCGAAGGUUAUCUAAUAACAUUAUCUCUUUACUCAACAUCUUAUAGCUUUUUAGUGUCUCCCCGCAUGUGGAUAGUAAAAUCUGGAUCUUAGAGCCUUUUAAUGUAUACUCUUACAAGUCUCUCUUUCUGCAUCUGAGCGAUAAUUCCUUUUGACACAAUGAAACUUUCAUUAAGUAAUUUUCAAAAUUUUCUAUAAGGUUAAGGUUUUGUUUAGACAACUGUUCAAGUAUCUCUGACUGGACUCAACGCCAAUGAUUAGUUGCAUAUCUCGCAGGCCUAAUUCCUCUUUUCCCCUGGAUUUCUGUUAGUGUUUCAAGGUGACCGAAUCCCAUAAUAAUCUGUUUUUCUUUUUUGAGGUGACUUGGAGGCUUUCGUACAGAUUCUGUGGUUCUAGUUAGGUUGCGUUCCCUUACCUUAAGUGUUUCUCUCUUUCCUUAAGGAAGGUGGGAAGAAGAAGGAAUUUUGUGUGCCAUGGAGAGAAACUAUUUUAAUGGGGUUUGGCCAGAUAGGGGGACACUCAUGGGGUGGCUGGUGGCUGAGGUCUGCUGCUGGCUACGAAAGCCAGUUUUAUGGGCUGGUGGCGGGUCUUUUGGUAGCUGGCUGCUGGCUGCUGGGUGGUGGUAGCCGACAAUGAAGGCGCUCCUUAGGUUUUGUGACUUAUUUUGGCAAUGAAGGCCAAAUAAAGUUUGUAAAAGAGUUUAAGGUUUUUUUUUGACCAAGAGAUAUGAGACGAUAUGGAGAAUAAAGUGUGUAUUUUAUUGAAUAAUAAGGUCCCAUAUAUACAGAUUAUAAAUAAUAAAAGGAAACACUACUAAUUAUGUGAGAGAGGUAUAUUUCUAAUGUAUCAUUUACUCUACUUACUAUGCAAAUACACUUGCCAACAGAAUCAAUAUUUUUGGAUGGUCUUUGUUGUGACCAUGGUUGUUAGCAAGCUUAAUACUAAUGAUUUGCUCCAAGCUCACGGGCUGAAUUGUACUAUAGAUCCACUUAGAGAGUGGGUUGCCAUAACCGAAUGUGUUGACAGGAAAGCCUGAAGGCUAUUCCCAUCCCUGUCAGGAGAGAUGCAACCAUCUCUCCUGUCUAUGAACACCUCACAGG
Molecule: non-coding RNA, 2284 nt
Organism: Carica papaya (papaya)
Lineage: Eukaryota; Viridiplantae; Streptophyta; Magnoliopsida; Brassicales; Caricaceae
Source: RefSeq, a predicted model, not a curated record